Molecule: ribosomal RNA, 496 nt
Filed under: uncultured bacterium
Lineage: Bacteria
Description: partial 16S ribosomal RNA
Rfam family: Bacterial small subunit ribosomal RNA
Source: RNAcentral
GACGAACGCUGGCGGCGUGCCUAAUACAUGCAAGUAGAACGCUGAAGAGAGGAGCUUGCUCUUCUUGGAUGAGUUGCGAACGGGUGAGUACGCGUAGGUAACCUGCCUUGUAGCGGGGGAUAACUAUUGGAAACGAUAGCUAAUACCGCAUAACAAUAGGUGACACAUGUCAUUUAUUUGAAAGGGGCAAUUGCUCCACUACAAGAUGGACCUGCGUUGUAUUAGCUAGUAGGUGAGGUAACGGCUCACCUAGGCGACGAUACAUAGCCGACCUGAGAGGGUGAUCGGCCACACUGGGACUGAGACACGGCCCAGACUCCUACGGGAGGCAGCAGUAGGGAAUCUUCGGCAAUGGGGGCAACCCUGACCGAGCAACGCCGCGUGAGUGAAGAAGGUUUUCGGAUCGUAAAGCUCUGUUGUAAGUCAAGAACGAGUGUGAGAGUGGAAAGUUCACACUGUGACGGUAGCUUACCAGAAAGGGACGGCUAACUACGUG